Molecule: long non-coding RNA, 1377 nt
Filed under: Anser brachyrhynchus (Pink-footed goose)
Lineage: Eukaryota; Metazoa; Chordata; Aves; Anseriformes; Anatidae
Description: lncRNA (ENSABRG00000008977.1)
Source: RNAcentral
AAGGCAGAAACAUUUCACUCUUUCUCCAUGCAUUCUUGGCAUAGCAUGGUUGUUUUACUCAUGACUUUUAUUGCAUUGAUGAAAUACUGAAAUGACAUUGUCUACCUUGUCUCUCUAGAUUUCAGCAAGAAAGUCUACUGGCUUGCAGCAGUUUGUCUCCUUGUAACUGUGGGAGUUCUGUGCUGGUAAGUCCGGGAGCUGUUCAAUCCCUCAUGCACCAGCAUCUCUUGGCAGCAUGUGUCAUGGUUAAGCUAAGCUCUUGGCUGUCUGGGGGCCAGACAACAGCUGCUGCUUGGGUGCUCAUAAGGGAAAUAACAGGUAAUGAGAGCUUCAUGACAGCUGUGUCACAGCGAGUUACAGCAUUAUGUAAUUUGUGCAUUUGAGCAGUUUGGUGAUCCCUCGGCCUCCUCCCAGCUCACUUCUCACAGGAAUGUGGGCUUGGAUUGACUCCUUUUUUUUGCAGUUAAAAGAUGGAAAUCCAGAAGUCGUCCAAGUCUUUGGCAGAUUAAGCUAAGUAGUUAAAAAAGGAAAAUAAGAGGGGCUGCUUUACACCCCAAAUGCAAUUGCAGUCAGCCUGAUUUGCAUGAAUUGAGCAAUACAGGCUGUUGCAGUGACUACCUCACCUCCUGUGUAGCAGGACGAGGCUACGGCAUCAGCUGGGGAAUUACUACUGGCUUUCCCUCGUACUUAUGAUGUCUAUUGCUACUGUUAUCCUGAGUUCAGUUGUCAGCCUAAUUAUUUCAAAAAAUGCCUUUUGCACUUGGACAGUGACAGUAACUGGAAGUGUAAUAAUUGGAAUAAUUUCAAAUUUCUACGAAACAGUGACUAUAAUGCAAGUUGGAGGAAUGACUGCAUUUGCAACCCUGUUACUGUUUUUAUUUGCUCUGAAGACAAAUAAACCCCUGACAAACAUGGCCAUAUCAACCACUACAAGCACCCUGGGCACUGCUGGGGCAAUCGUUUGUGUCCUUAGAAAUUCAUACGUGUUCCAGGCUAUAUACGCUCUAUUUGGAAUGCUGCUCUUUGCUACUGAUCUGACGAGGACAGUAGCUGAGCUCGAAAGUCAACGGACAACCAACAAAAAAGUCAAAAAGUCAAAGCUUGAAAGUCAACCAACAAAAAUGCAACGCUCCAUGGACUAUGCUGAGGCAGCACAAAGACUUGUCAUAUCUAUUGCUAUGAUCUUCUUCUUCACUUUGCUAUUAGUUGGUUGAACGCACAACAAAGCCGAGUAUUUUGGCAAACUUCAGUUUCAGCGCAAGUCCUGUGUUACCCAAAGGAAGGUGCGUGACAGCUCAUUCAGGUGUUCUGGCGAGGUGAUUACGGGAUGGAUUUCCAUAUAAUAAACUUCCUAUAGAUGAAAAAGUAUCUUAAUGU